AAAAGAAACCAACAGGGAUUGCCCCAGUAACGGCGAGUGAAGCGGCAACAGCUCAAAUUUGAAAUCUGGCCCUCGGGUCCGAGUUGUAAUUUGUAGAGGAUGCUUUUGGCGAGGUGCCUUCCGAGUUCCCUGGAACGGGACGCCAUAGAGGGUGAGAGCCCCGUCUGGUCGGAUACCAAGCCUCUGUAAAGCUCCUUCGACGAGUCGAGUAGUUUGGGAAUGCUGCUCAAAAUGGGAGGUAUAUGUCUUCUAAAGCUAAAUAUUGGCCAGAGACCGAUAGCGCACAAGUAGAGUGAUCGAAAGAUGAAAAGCACUUUGAAAAGAGGGUUAAAAAGUACGUGAAAUUGUUGAAAGGGAAGCGCCUAUGACCAGACUUGGGCCCGGUGAAUCAUCCAGCGUUCUCGCUGGUGCACUUUGCCGGGCACAGGCCAGCAUCAGUUUGGCGCGGGGGAUAAAGACUUUGGGAAUGUGGCUCCCUCGGGAGUGUUAUAGCCCAUUGUGUAAUACCCUGCGCCGGACUGAGGUACGCGCAUCGCAAGGAUGCUGGCGUAAUGGUCAUCAGCGACCCGUCUUGAAACACGGACCAAGGAGUCGUCUUCGUAUGCGAGUGUUCGGGUGUCAAACCCCUACGCGUAAUGAAAGUGAACGCAGGUGAGAGCUUCGGCGCAUCAUCGACCGAUCCUGAUGUUCUCGGAUGGAUUUGAGUAAGAGCAUACGGGGCCGGACCCGAAAGAAGGUGAACUAUGCCUGUAUAGGGUGAAGCCAGAGGAAACUCUGGUGGAGGCUCGCAGCGGUUCUGACGUGCGAAUCGAUCGUCAAAUAUGGGCAUGGGGGCGAAAGACUAAUCGA
This 849-nucleotide ribosomal RNA is filed under the name Liangia sinensis. RNAcentral describes it as "partial large subunit ribosomal RNA". It matches the Rfam family "Eukaryotic large subunit ribosomal RNA", at positions 57 to 938 of the family's 3401-position model. The record is from RNAcentral. Lineage: Eukaryota; Fungi; Ascomycota; Sordariomycetes; Hypocreales; Cordycipitaceae.